RNAcentral lists this ribosomal RNA (406 nucleotides) under uncultured bacterium. RNAcentral describes it as "partial 16S ribosomal RNA". It matches the Rfam family "Bacterial small subunit ribosomal RNA", at positions 30 to 526 of the family's 1533-position model. The record is from RNAcentral.
AUUGAACGCUGGCGGCAGGCCUAACACAUGCAAGUCGAACGAGUGGCGGACGGGUGAGUAAUGUCUGGGAAACUGCCCGAUGGAGGGGGAUAACUACUGGAAACGGUAGCUAAUACCGCAUACCAUCGGAUGUGCCCAGACGGGAUUAGCUAGUGGGUGGGGUAAAGGCUAACCUAGGCGACGAUCCCUAGCUGGUCUGAGAGGAUGACCAGCCACACGGUAACUGGGACACGGUCCAGACUCCUACGGGAGGCAGCAGUGGGGAAUAUUGGACAAUGGGCGCAAGCCUGAUGCAGCCAUGCCGCGUGUAUGAAGAAGGCCUUCGGGUUGUAAAGUACUUUCAGCGGGGAGGCGUUACCCGCAGAAUAAGCACCGGCUAACUCCGUGCCAGCAGCCGCGGUAAUUC